CCUACGGGUGGCAGCAGUGGGGAAUAUUGGACAAUGGGGGAAACCCUGAUCCAGCGACGCCGCGUGAGUGAAGAAGUAUUUCGGUACGUAAAGCUCUAUCAGCAGGAAAGAAAAUGACGGUACCUGACUAAGAAGCCCCGGCUAACUACGUGCCAGCAGCCGCGGUAAUACGUAGGGGGCAAGCGUUAUCCGGAUUUACUGGGUGUAAAGGGAGCGUAGACGGCAGCGCAAGUCUGGAGCGAAAUGCCGGGGCCCAACCCCGGAACUGCGCUGGAAACUGGUAAGCAGGAGUGCAGGAGAGGUAAGUGGGAUUCCCGGUGUAGCGGUGGAAUGCGUAGAUAUCGGGAGGAACACCAGAGGCGAAGGCGACUUACUGGACUGUAACUGACGCUGAGGCUCGAAAGCGUGGGGAGCAAACAGGAUUAGAUACCCCAGUAGUC
Molecule: ribosomal RNA, 440 nt
Filed under: uncultured bacterium
Lineage: Bacteria
Description: partial 16S ribosomal RNA
Rfam family: Bacterial small subunit ribosomal RNA
Source: RNAcentral